CAGCCGCCGCGGUAAUACCGGCGGCCCGAGUGGCGGUCACUAUUAUUGGGCUUAAAACGUCCGUAGCCGGGUUGGGAAAUCCUCCGGGAAAUCUGGCCGCUUAACGGUCAGAAUGCCGGAGGAUACUCCCAGCCUAGGGAGCGGGAGAGGCCGAGGGGAUUCCCGGAGUAGGGGUGGAAUCCUAUAAUCCCGGGAGGACCACCUGUGGCGAAGGCGCUCGGCUGGAACGCGUCCGACGGUGAGGGACGAAGGCCAGGGGAGCAAACCGGAUUAGAUACCCGGGUAGUCCUGGCUGUAAACGAUGCGGACUUUGUGUCGGACAAGCUAUGAGCUUGUCCGGUGCCGGAGGGAAACCGUUAAGUCCGCCGCCUGGGGAGUACGGCCGCAAGGCUGAAACUUAAAGGAAUUGGCGGG
RNAcentral lists this ribosomal RNA (414 nucleotides) under uncultured microorganism. Its description in RNAcentral is "bacterial SSU rRNA". It matches the Rfam family "Archaeal small subunit ribosomal RNA", at positions 459 to 872 of the family's 1478-position model. The record is from RNAcentral.